UACGAAGGGUGCAAGCGUUAAUCGGAAUUACUGGGCGUAAAGCGUGCGUAGAUGGUUCGCUAAGUCGGAUGUGAAAGCCCCGGGCGUCAACCUGGGAACGUGCAUCCGAUACUGGCGGACUAGAGUGUGAUAGAGGAUGGCGGAAUUCCCGGUGUAGCGGUGAAAUGCGUAGAGAUCGGGAGGAACAUCCGUGGCGAAGGCGGCCAUCUGGAUCAACACUGACGUUGAGGCACG
This 234-nucleotide ribosomal RNA is filed under the name uncultured bacterium. Its description in RNAcentral is "partial 16S ribosomal RNA". It matches the Rfam family "Bacterial small subunit ribosomal RNA", at positions 524 to 755 of the family's 1533-position model. The record is from RNAcentral.